This 64-nucleotide transfer RNA is filed under the name Cavia porcellus (domestic guinea pig). It matches the Rfam family "tRNA", at positions 1 to 62 of the family's 71-position model. Rfam says of the family: Transfer RNA (tRNA) molecules are approximately 80 nucleotides in length. The record is from Rfam by way of RNAcentral. Lineage: Eukaryota; Metazoa; Chordata; Mammalia; Rodentia; Caviidae.
GGGAGUUUAGCUUAGCGGUGUAAGCGCCUGCCUUGCAAGCAGGCAGUUGUGAGUUCAAUCCCUG